RNAcentral lists this ribosomal RNA (407 nucleotides) under uncultured bacterium. Its description in RNAcentral is "partial 16S ribosomal RNA". It matches the Rfam family "Bacterial small subunit ribosomal RNA", at positions 28 to 526 of the family's 1533-position model. The record is from RNAcentral.
GACGAACGCUGGCGGCGUGCCUAAUACAUGCAAGUAGGACGCAGUUGCGAACGGGUGAGUAACGCGUCGGUAACUGCCUAUUAGAGGGGGAUAAAUAUUGGAAACGAUAGCUAAUACCGCAUACUAGUAGAUGGACCUGCGUUGUAUUAGCUAGUAGGUAGGGUAAUGGCCUACCUAGGCAACGAUCCAUAGCCGACGUGAGAGGGUGAUCGGCCACAAGGGGACUGAGACACGGGCCAGACUCCUCAGGGAGGCAGCAGUAGGGAAUCUUCGGAAAUGGGGGGAACCCUGGCCGAGCAACGCCGCGUGGGUGAAGAAGGUUUUCGGAUCGUAAAGCUCUGUUGUUAAGGGAGCGGUACUUAACGAGGAAGGGACGGCUAACUACGUGCCAGCCGCCGCGGUAAUUC